This 538-nucleotide ribosomal RNA is filed under the name Dacus dissimilis. RNAcentral describes it as "partial 16S ribosomal RNA". It matches the Rfam family "Bacterial large subunit ribosomal RNA", at positions 1804 to 2612 of the family's 2925-position model. Lineage: Eukaryota; Metazoa; Arthropoda; Insecta; Diptera; Tephritidae. The record is from RNAcentral.
UUAACAAAAACAUGUCUUUUUGAGUUAUUUAUAAAGUCUGACCUGCCCACUGAAUUUUAAAUGGCCGCAGUAUUUUAACUGUGCAAAGGUAGCAUAAUCAUUAGUCUUUUAAUUGAAGGCUGGUAUGAAUGGUUGGACGAGGUAUGUGCUGUUUCAUGUAAAUUUAUAGUAGAAUUUUAUAUUUUAGUUAAAAAGCUAAAAUAAAGUUAAAAGACGAGAAGACCCUAUAAAUCUUUAUAUUUAAUAUUGUUUAAGUUUUUUGGGAUUAGUUUAUUUUUAUUAUGUUAAAUAUUUUGUUGGGGUGAUGUUAAAAUUUAAUGAACUUUUAAUUUUUUAAAAAUCAUUUAUUUAUGAAUUGUUGAUCCAUUAUUAUUGAUUAUAAGGUUAAGUUACUUUAGGGAUAACAGCGUAAUUUUUUUGGAGAGUUCAUAUCGAUAAAAAAGGUUGCGACCUCGAUGUUGGAUUAAGAUAUAUUUUAGGUGUAGUUGCUUAAAUGUUAAGUCUGUUCGACUUUUAAAUUCUUACGUGAUCUGAGUUC